RNAcentral lists this ribosomal RNA (253 nucleotides) under uncultured bacterium. RNAcentral describes it as "partial 16S ribosomal RNA". It matches the Rfam family "Bacterial small subunit ribosomal RNA", at positions 524 to 776 of the family's 1533-position model. The record is from RNAcentral.
UACGUAGGGACCGAGCGUUGUCCGGAUUCAUUGGGCGUAAAGAGCUCGUAGGCGGCUCGUUGCGUCAACCGUGAAAACCCGGGGCUUAACUUCGGGCUUGCGGUUGAUACGGGCGGGCUGGAGUUCGGUAGGGGAGACUGGAAUUCCUGGUGUAGCGGUGAAAUGCGCAGAUAUCAGGAGGAACACCGGUGGCGAAGGCGGGUCUCUGGGCCGAUAUUGACGCUGAGGAGCGAAAGCGUGGGGAGCGAACAGG